GAGUUUGAUCCUGGCUCAGAAUGAACGCUGGCGGCAGGCCUAACGCAUGCAAGUCGAACGGAGUUAUAUUGUAGCUUGCUAUGGUAUAACUUAGUGGCAGACGGGUGAGUAAUGUAUAGGAAUCUACCUAGUAGUACGGAAUAAUUGUUGGAAACGGCAACUAAUACCGUAUACGCCCUACGGGGGAAAAAUUUAUUGCUAUUAGAUGAGCCUAUAUUAGAUUAGUUAGUUGGUGAGGUAAAGGCUUACCAAGACAAUGAUCUAUAGCUGAUCUGAGAGGAUGAUCAGCCACACUGGAACUGAGAUACGGUCCAGACUCCUACGGGAGGCAGCAGUGGGGAAUAUUGGACAAUGGGCGAAAGCCUGAUCCAGCCAUGCCGCAUGAGUGAAGAAGGCCUUCGGGUUGUAAAGCUCUUUUAGUGAGGAAGAUAAUGACGGUACUCACAGAAGAAGUCCUGGCUAACUCCGUGCCAGCAGCCGCGGUAAUACGGAGAGGGCUAGCGUUAUUCGGAAUCAUUGGGCGUAAAGGGCGCGUAGGCGGGUUAGUAAGUUAAAAGUGAAAUCCCAAGGCUCAACCUUGGAACUGCUUUUAAAACUGCUAGUCUAGAGAUUGAAAGAGGAUAGAGGAAUUCCUAGUGUAGAGAUGAAAUUCGUAAAUAUUAGGAGGAACACCAGUGGCGAAA
Molecule: ribosomal RNA, 683 nt
Filed under: uncultured Hyphomicrobiales bacterium
Lineage: Bacteria; Pseudomonadati; Pseudomonadota; Alphaproteobacteria; Hyphomicrobiales
Description: bacterial SSU rRNA
Rfam family: Bacterial small subunit ribosomal RNA
Source: RNAcentral